This 54-nucleotide transfer RNA is filed under the name Bombus terrestris (buff-tailed bumblebee). RNAcentral describes it as "tRNA-Pro". Lineage: Eukaryota; Metazoa; Arthropoda; Insecta; Hymenoptera; Apidae. The record is from RNAcentral.
CAAAAAGUAGUUUAAUUAAAAUAAUAAUUUUGGGAAUUAUUGAUAUUUUUUUUA